Molecule: ribosomal RNA, 497 nt
Filed under: uncultured Actinomycetes bacterium
Lineage: Bacteria; Bacillati; Actinomycetota; Actinomycetes
Description: bacterial SSU rRNA
Rfam family: Bacterial small subunit ribosomal RNA
Source: RNAcentral
AGAGUUUGAUCAUGGCUCAGGACGAACGCUGGCGGCGUGCUUAACACAUGCAAGUCGAACGAUGAACCACUUCGGUGGGGAUUAGUGGCGAACGGGUGAGUAACACGUGGGCAAUCUGCCCUUCACUCUGGGACAAGCCCUGGAAACGGGGUCUAAUACCGGAUACCACUACCGCAGGCAUCUGUGGUGGUUGAAAGCUCCGGCGGUGAAGGAUGAGCCCGCGGCCCAUCAGCUUGUUGGUGAGGUAAUGGCUCACCAAGGCGACGACGGGUAGCCGGCCUGAGAGGGCGACCGGCCACACUGGGACUGAGACACGGCCCAGACUCCUACGGGAGGCAGCAGUGGGGAAUAUUGCACAAUGGGCGAAAGCCUGAUGCAGCGACGCCGCGUGAGGGAUGACGGCCUUCGGGUUGUAAACCUCUUUCAGCAGGGAAGAAGCGAAAGUGACGGUACCUGCAGAAGAAGCGCCGGCUAACUACGUGCCAGCAGCCGCGGUA